UACGUAGGGUGCGAGCGUUGUCCGGAAUUACUGGGCGUAAAGGGCGCGUAGGCGGCAAUUCAAGUCAUCUGUGAAAUCUCCGGGCUUAACCCGGAACGGUCAGAUGAUACUGCUUUGCUAGAGUGCGGAAGGGGCAAUCGGAAUUCUUGGUGUAGCGGUGAAAUGCGUAGAUAUCAAGAGGAACACCUGAGGUGAAGACGGGUUGCUGGGCCGACACUGACGCUGAUAGCGCGAAAGCCAGGGGAGCAAACGGG
This 254-nucleotide ribosomal RNA is filed under the name uncultured bacterium. Its description in RNAcentral is "partial 16S ribosomal RNA". It matches the Rfam family "Bacterial small subunit ribosomal RNA", at positions 524 to 776 of the family's 1533-position model. The record is from RNAcentral.